GUUAAGGUAGCAGAGCCUGGCAAUUGCAUAAAACUUAAAACUUUACACUCAGAGGUUCAACUCCUCUCCUUAACA
This 75-nucleotide transfer RNA is filed under the name Cavia porcellus (domestic guinea pig). It matches the Rfam family "tRNA". From Rfam's summary of the family: Transfer RNA (tRNA) molecules are approximately 80 nucleotides in length. Their secondary structure includes four short double-helical elements and three loops (D, anti-codon, and T loops). Further hydrogen bonds mediate the characteristic L-shaped molecular structure. tRNAs have two regions of fundamental functional importance: the anti-codon, which is responsible for specific mRNA codon recognition, and the 3' end, to which the tRNAs corresponding amino acid is attached (by aminoacyl-tRNA synthetases). tRNAs cope with the degeneracy of the genetic code in two manners: having more than one tRNA (with a specific anti-codon) for a particular amino acid; and 'wobble' base-pairing, i.e. permitting non-standard base-pairing at the 3rd anti-codon position. The record is from Rfam by way of RNAcentral. Lineage: Eukaryota; Metazoa; Chordata; Mammalia; Rodentia; Caviidae.